AUGAGUGAUCAGACUCCACUUCAUGGUCCAUGUUCACUAACAACACCAGAUACUGUCGUCUCUAACAAUGAAAAUGUUAAUGAUAUCAACUCUGCCAUUGAGUCCUCCCAACUGACUAUGUUACGACCGCCACUUCAAGCCUACAGAUGCAGCAGUUCAUAUGAAGCAAAACAAGCACUGAAGAGGCAGAGGGAAAAUGCCCGGUAUGAGCAACAUAAAGAAGAGAUAUUGCAAAGCCUACGUGACAACCGCCGUGCUGCCAAAUCUACAGCAGUGCUUACAACUGGAGAACAAAACCAAUCUGAUACAGCCGAUGAAGAUUGUGAUUGGCUACACACAAAUGAUACAUACCUGAUACAAAACAUUGGAAGGAGGAUGAGGCGAGACAACAUACUCACUGCGUCGUCACGCAACGACCAUGACGAUGAUGCAUAUGGAAUACUGGAGCCCGAUGACAACACAACAAAUAUGGAUGGUACACAUUAA
This 486-nucleotide ribosomal RNA is filed under the name Triticum aestivum (bread wheat). Its description in RNAcentral is "partial small subunit ribosomal RNA". The record is from RNAcentral. Lineage: Eukaryota; Viridiplantae; Streptophyta; Magnoliopsida; Poales; Poaceae.